Molecule: small RNA, 160 nt
Filed under: Histoplasma capsulatum var. duboisii H88
Lineage: Eukaryota; Fungi; Ascomycota; Eurotiomycetes; Onygenales; Ajellomycetaceae
Description: Histoplasma capsulatum H88 hypothetical RNA
Source: RNAcentral
CGCUUCUCUUCCCUACGACUUGGGAACAUGGCGUUCGCCUUUGGGCUUAGGAGCGUUGCUGGUGCACAAUUUAUGCUCACUUCAUCCCUGCUCUGUCAUCCAUCUGAGCAAUCUCUCUCAGCGUGACUUCCGCAGGAUAGUUGAUGCUUUUGAGACCUCA